AUACGAAGGGGGCUAGCGUUGUUCGGAAUUACUGGGCGUAAAGCGCGCGCAGGCGGUCUUCCAAGUCAGUGGUGAAAGCCCGGAGCUCAACUCCGGAACUGCCAUUGAAACUGUUAGACUUGAGGACGAGAGAGGUGAGUGGAAUUCCCAGUGUAGAGGUGAAAUUCGUAGAUAUUGGGAAGAACACCGGUGGCGAAGGCGGCUCACUGGCUCGUAUCUGACGCUCAGGCGCGAUAGCGUGGGGAUC
This 247-nucleotide ribosomal RNA is filed under the name uncultured bacterium. RNAcentral describes it as "partial 16S ribosomal RNA". It matches the Rfam family "Bacterial small subunit ribosomal RNA", at positions 523 to 769 of the family's 1533-position model. The record is from RNAcentral.